Molecule: ribosomal RNA, 253 nt
Filed under: uncultured bacterium
Lineage: Bacteria
Description: partial 16S ribosomal RNA
Rfam family: Bacterial small subunit ribosomal RNA
Source: RNAcentral
UACGUAGGGAGCAAGCGUUGUCCGGAAUCAUUGGGCGUAAAGCGCGCGUAGGCGGCCCCGUAAGUCCGCUGUGAAAGUCAAAGGCUCAACCUUUGAAAGCCGGUGGAUACUGUGGGGCUAGAGUCCGGAAGAGGCGAGUGGAAUUCCUGGUGUAGCGGUGGAAUGCACAGAUAUCAGGAGGAACACCAAUAGCGAAGGCAGCUCGCUGGGACGGUACUGACGCUAAGGCGCGAAAGCGUGGGGAGCGAACAGG